Molecule: ribosomal RNA, 473 nt
Filed under: uncultured bacterium
Lineage: Bacteria
Description: bacterial SSU rRNA
Rfam family: Bacterial small subunit ribosomal RNA
Source: RNAcentral
GACGACGCUGGCGGCGUGCCUAACACAUGCAAGUCGAGCGGAGAUGUACUGAAGAUUUAUCGGAUGUACAUCUUAGCGGCGGACGGGUGAGUAACGCGUGGGCAACCUGCCUUCCACUGGGGGAUAACACAGGGAAACCUGUGCUAAGUACCGCAUGACAUCACAUAGGGCAUCCUGUGUGAUCAAAGGAGUGAUCCGGUGGAAGAUGGGCCCGCGUCCGAUUAGCUAGUUGGUGAGGUAACGGCUCACCAAGGCGACGAUCGGUAGCCGGACUGAGAGGUUGGCCGGCCACAUUGGGACUGAGACACGGCCCAGACUCCUACGGGAGGCAGCAGUGGGGAAUAUUGCGCAAUGGGGGGAACCCUGACGCAGCGACGCCGCGUGAAGGAAGAAGGCCUUCGGGUUGUAAACUUCUUUGAUGAGGGACGAAGGAAGUGACGGUACCUCAAAAACAAGCCACGGCUAACUACGUG